GCAGGGACUACUGCUGCCUUGCAGCUGGAGUGGGGAGAGGAGAGGAUAUGGUCACGUUUUGGGUUGCUCAAAUUACCUUGGCAAGUGGUGCUUGCAUCAGAAGGGCUCUGAACCAGACAGUUGAAAGUACUUGAUAGUUCCUUUCUCCCCAGAACACACAGGUGCUGAACUCCAUGGAGAACUCCCUGGGUGUCAGCUGAGAUCAUGGACCUGAUGUGGAUAAUUACCUCCUGAUUAUCCAGCUGGGUAUGAAAUGUUGGUGAAACAAAUCCAUGUGCCCAAAGAGCAGCUCAGCUAUGAGAUUGUGAGAUUCCACCCUGGCACUACGUACAUUGUCACACUUCCAUCACAUGUGAAGGGGAUUGCCAGUGAGCCCAAGCAUCUAGAAGCAAGUACAGGUGUUUUAGGGGUUUAAUUCAACUGGAGAUAGCUAAUCCUGCACUUCGAAAUGCUGUCUCAGGAGUCAUUAGCCCAACCAAUGUGACAGCCAACUGAGUG
RNAcentral lists this long non-coding RNA (498 nucleotides) under Zonotrichia albicollis (white-throated sparrow). Its description in RNAcentral is "lncRNA (ENSZALG00000008634.1)". The record is from RNAcentral. Lineage: Eukaryota; Metazoa; Chordata; Aves; Passeriformes; Passerellidae.